GGUGGAGGCGCGGACGAGGGCGGAGAGUACGGCUCCUCCCGGGACGACUCGGAGAAGUACAGGAAGGAGGAGAAGGAGCACAAGCACAAGGAGCACCUCGGCGAGAUGGGCGCCCUCGCCGCCGGCGCCUUCGCCCUGGUAACGAACCAACGUCCAUCGUUUCCUUCCUUCCUUGCACACGCACGAACUGAUGAACGAGCUGACGCCGUGCUUUGUGAUUGUGACUGUCGCGCAUGUUCUUCGUGUCACUGUGACAACUUUCGUGACGACCAUGUGCAUGCAUGCAUGAUCGACCGGACCGACGCAUGCAGUACGAGAGGCACGAGGCGAAGAAGGACCCGGAGCACGCGCAGCGGCACAAGAUCGAGGAGGGCGUGGCGGCGGUGGCUGCCCUGGGCAGCGGCGGCUUCGCGUUCCACGAGCACCACGACAAGAAGGAGGCCAAAGACGCGGCGGAGGACGCCGGGGAGGAGGAGGAGUCCGGCCGCCGCGGCGAGGGGAAGAAGAAGCACCACUUCUUCGGCUGAUCGGGCUGCUGCUCGAUCGAUCUACUUGCGUACGUAGGCUGCUCCCCAGGACCAGAAGGAGCAUGCAUGGAGGGCGAACG
This 607-nucleotide long non-coding RNA is filed under the name Zea mays. RNAcentral describes it as "long non-coding RNA (ZMAY_LNC000819)". Lineage: Eukaryota; Viridiplantae; Streptophyta; Magnoliopsida; Poales; Poaceae. The record is from RNAcentral.